This 301-nucleotide ribosomal RNA is filed under the name uncultured bacterium. RNAcentral describes it as "partial 16S ribosomal RNA". It matches the Rfam family "Bacterial small subunit ribosomal RNA", at positions 509 to 807 of the family's 1533-position model. The record is from RNAcentral.
CAGUAGCCGCGGGAAUACAGAGGGUGCGAGCGUUAAUCGGAUUUACUGGGCGUAAAACGUGCGUAGGCGGCUUCUUAAGUCGGAUGUGAAAUCCCUGAGCUUAACUUAGGAAUUGCAUUCGAUACUGGGAAGCUAGAGUAUGGGAGAGGAUGGUAGAAUUCCAGGUGUAGCGGUGAAAUGCGUAGAGAUCUGGAGGAAUACCGAUGGCGAAGGCAGCCAUCUGGCCUAAUACUGACGCUGAGGUACGAAAGCAUGGGGAGCAAACAGGAUUAGAUACCCGCGUAGUCCCUGUCUCUUAUAC